Molecule: ribosomal RNA, 253 nt
Filed under: uncultured bacterium
Lineage: Bacteria
Description: partial 16S ribosomal RNA
Rfam family: Bacterial small subunit ribosomal RNA
Source: RNAcentral
UACGUAGGGGGCAAGCGUUGUCCGGAAUUAUUGGGCGUAAAGCGCGUGUAGGCGGCCCGAUAAGUCCGCUGUGAAAGUCCAGGGCUCAACCCUGGGAUGCCGGUGGAUACUGUCGGGCUCGAGUCCGGAAGAGGAGUGUGGAAUUCCUGGUGUAGCGGUGAAAUGCGCAGAUAUCAGGAGGAACACCAAUGGCGAAGGCAGCACUCUGGGACGUGACUGACGCUGAGACGCGAAAGCGUGGGGAGCGAACAGG